This 398-nucleotide ribosomal RNA is filed under the name Capnocytophaga gingivalis. RNAcentral's name for it is "bacterial SSU rRNA". It matches the Rfam family "Bacterial small subunit ribosomal RNA", at positions 28 to 420 of the family's 1533-position model. The record is from RNAcentral. Lineage: Bacteria; Pseudomonadati; Bacteroidota; Flavobacteriia; Flavobacteriales; Flavobacteriaceae.
GAUGAACGCUAGCGGCAGGCCUAACACAUGCAAGUCGAGGGAGAAGCCCUUUCGGGGGCAGAAAACCGGCGCACGGGUGCGUAACGCGUAUGCAACCUACCUUUCACAGGGGGAUAGCCCGAAGAAAUUUGGAUUAAUACCCCAUAAUAUUAUUGGAUGGCAUCAUUUGAUAAUUAAAACUGCGGUGGUGAAAGAUGGGCAUGCGUCCUAUUAGCUAGUUGGAGUGGUAACGGCACCCCAAGGCUACGAUAGGUAGGGGUCCUGAGAGGGAGAUCCCCCACACUGGUACUGAGACAGGGACCAGACUCCUACGGGAGGCAGCAGUGAGGAAAUAUUGGUCCAAUGGUGGGAAGAACUGAACCCAGCCAUUCCGCGGUGCAGGGAAAGAAAUGCCCUUA